This 301-nucleotide ribosomal RNA is filed under the name uncultured bacterium. RNAcentral's name for it is "partial 16S ribosomal RNA". It matches the Rfam family "Bacterial small subunit ribosomal RNA", at positions 509 to 807 of the family's 1533-position model. The record is from RNAcentral.
CAGCCGCCACGGGAAUACAGAGGGUGCGAGCGUUAAUCGGAUUUACUGGGCGUAAAGCGUGCGUAGGCGGCUUCUUAAGUAGGAUGUGAAAUCCCUGAGCUUAACUUAGGAAUUGCAUUCGAUACUGGGAAGCUAGAGUAUGGGAGAGGAUGGUAGAAUUCCAGGUGUAGCGGUGAAAUGCGUAGAGAUCUGGAGGAAUACCGAUGGCGAAGGCAGCCAUCUGGCCUAAUACUGACGCUGAGGUACGAAAGCAUGGGGAGCAAACAGGAUUAGAUACCCGAGUAGUCCCUGUCUCUUAUAC